AGUGAACGCUGGCGGUAGGCCUAACACAUGCAAGUCGAACGGCAGCACAGUAAGAGCUUGCUCUUACGGGUGGCGAGUGGCGGACGGGUGAGGAAUACAUCGGAAUCUACUUUUUCGUGGGGGAUAACGUAGGGAAACUUACGCUAAUACCGCAUACGACCUACGGGUGAAAGCAGGGGAUCUUCGGACCUUGCGCGAUUGAAUGAGCCGAUGUCGGAUUAGCUAGUUGGCGGGGUAAAGGCCCACCAAGGCGACGAUCCGUAGCUGGUCUGAGAGGAUGAUCAGCCACACUGGGACUGAAGCACGGUCCAAACUCCUACGGGAGGCAGCAGUGGGGAAUAUUGGACAAUGGGCGCAAGCCUGAUCCAGCCAUACCGCGUGGGUGAAGAAGGCCUUCGGGUUGUAAAGCCCUUUUGUUGGGAAAGAAAAGCAGCAGGUUAAUACCCCGCUGUUCUGACGGUACCCAAAGAAUAAGCACCGGCUAACUUCGUG
This 492-nucleotide ribosomal RNA is filed under the name uncultured bacterium. RNAcentral describes it as "partial 16S ribosomal RNA". It matches the Rfam family "Bacterial small subunit ribosomal RNA", at positions 29 to 507 of the family's 1533-position model. The record is from RNAcentral.